GAAAUGCGAUACGUAAUGUGAAUUGCAGAAUUCAGUGAAUCAUCGAAUCUUUGAACGCACCUUGCGCCCCUUGGUAUUCCGAGGGGUGCACCCGUUUGAGUGUCGUGAACACCCUCAACCUUUCUUGGUUUUUAUCGACCGGGAAAGGCUUGGACUUUGGACGUUGCUGGCCUCGCCAGCUCCUCCUAAAUGAAUUAGUGGGGUCUGCCGUGCCGACCCUUGACGUGUUAAGUACGCUUCUACGUCUUGGGGGUUUCGCACCCGUUCCUGCUUCUAACCCUUUUCGAGUCCGUGACUCGACCUUUAUAAAUCUUGACCUCAAAUCGGGUGAGACUACCCGCUGAACUUAA
Molecule: ribosomal RNA, 350 nt
Filed under: Russula eburneoareolata
Lineage: Eukaryota; Fungi; Basidiomycota; Agaricomycetes; Russulales; Russulaceae
Description: eukaryotic LSU rRNA
Rfam family: 5.8S ribosomal RNA (bases 1-105)
Source: RNAcentral